CCUACGGGCGGCAGCAGUGGGGAAUAUUGGACAAUGGGGGGAACCCUGAUCCAGCCAUGCCGCGUGUGUGAAGAAGGCCCUCGGGUUGUAAAGCACUUUCAGUGAGGAAGAACGCCUGGUGGUUAAUACCCAUCAGGAAAGACAUCACUCACAGAAGAAGCACCGGCUAACUCCGUGCCAGCAGCCGCGGUAAUACGGAGGGUGCGAGCGUUAAUCGGAAUUACUGGGCGUAAAGCGCGCGUAGGUGGCUUGAUAAGCCGGUUGUGAAAGCCCCGGACUCAACCUGGGAACGGCAUCCGGAACUGUCAAGCUAGAGUGCAGGAGAGGAAGGUAGAAUUCCCGGUGUAGCGGUGAAAUGCGUAGAGAUCGGGAGGAAUACCAGUGGCGAAGGCGGCCUUCUGGACUGACACUGACACUGAGGUGCGAAAGCGUGGGUAGCAAACAGGAUUAGAUACCCGGGUAGUC
RNAcentral lists this ribosomal RNA (465 nucleotides) under Vreelandella stevensii. RNAcentral describes it as "partial 16S ribosomal RNA". It matches the Rfam family "Bacterial small subunit ribosomal RNA", at positions 338 to 795 of the family's 1533-position model. The record is from RNAcentral. Lineage: Bacteria; Pseudomonadati; Pseudomonadota; Gammaproteobacteria; Oceanospirillales; Halomonadaceae.